Molecule: ribosomal RNA, 225 nt
Filed under: uncultured bacterium
Lineage: Bacteria
Description: partial 16S ribosomal RNA
Rfam family: Bacterial small subunit ribosomal RNA
Source: RNAcentral
CCUGCCCUUCAGAGGGGGACAACAGUUGGAAACGACUGCUAAUACCGCAUACGAUCUAACCUCGGCAUCGAGGAUGGAUGAAAGGUGGCCUCUAUUUAUAAGCUAUCACUGAAGGAGGGGAUUGCGUCUGAUUAGCUAGUUGGAGGGGUAACGGCCCACCAAGGCGAUGAUCAGUAGCCGGUCUGAGAGGAUGAACGGCCACAUUGGGACUGAGACACGGCCCAG